CCGACCUGCUGUCCCUGCAGCUCUCCUGCUGGGUCUCUUUUGCGUCAGUCGCCCCAGCCAAGGCACACAUUUCAUGCUGGGCCCCGUCUGUCUGCCUCGGCCUCCAGCAAGGAGCUCCUCAUGAAGCUGCGGCGGAAAACAGGCUACUCUUUUGUAAAUUGCAAGAAAGCUCUGGAGACUUGUGGCGGGGACCUCAAACAGACGGAGUCUUGCUCUGUGGCCCAGGCCGGAGUGCAAUGGCAGAGAUCUGGCUCCACAAGGAGGCCCAGAAGGAGGGCUGGAGCAAAGCUGCCAAGCUCCAAGGGAGGAAGACCAAAGAAGGCCUGAUUGGGCUGUUGCAGGAAGGAAACACAACUGUAUUAGUAGAGGUAAACUGUGAGACGGAUUUUGUUUCUAGAAAUUUAAAAUUUCAACAGUUGGUCCAGCAAGUAGCCCUUGGAACCAUGAUGCAUUGUCAGACCCUAAAGGAUCAACCCUCUACAUACAGUAAAGGUUUCUUGAAUUCCUCUGAGCUUUCUGGACUUCCAGCUGGGCCUGACAGAGAAGGCUCACUCAAGGAUCAGUUGGCUUUAGCAAUUGGAAAACUGGGAGAAAACAUGAUUCUUAAACGAGCUGCAUGGGUGAAGGUGCCAUCUGGGUUCUACGUUGGCUCUUAUGUCCACGGAGCAAUGCAGAGUCCCUCACUUCACAACCUGGCGCUGGGGAAGUAUGGGGCCCUGGUCAUCUGUGAGACGUCUGAACAGAAAACAAACCUUGAAGACGUUGGCCGC
RNAcentral lists this small RNA (770 nucleotides) under Pongo abelii (Sumatran orangutan). Its description in RNAcentral is "processed transcript". The record is from RNAcentral. Lineage: Eukaryota; Metazoa; Chordata; Mammalia; Primates; Hominidae.